This 2771-nucleotide long non-coding RNA is filed under the name Salmo salar (Atlantic salmon). RNAcentral describes it as "lncRNA (ENSSSAG00000084149.1)". The record is from RNAcentral. Lineage: Eukaryota; Metazoa; Chordata; Actinopteri; Salmoniformes; Salmonidae.
GGGACAUGUGUGUUUGUGUGUCCUUAUUUACCUGGUGCAACUUGGAGAGGAGGGUUAUCUGCCCUCACACAGAGGGUCACAUAUUCCCUACAUGACAGUUGGACCAUCAAUGCUUCAGUAGCCCAGUCGGGACCUUUGUCUGGUUUGUGUGUUGACGAUGAAUCACAAUAUAAAGUUCAACUCCCACUGUUUAUCUGCAUGGGCUGCAUCUCAAUCUAACGCGGAAGACCGGCAGAGGCGAAUGUUUCAAUCUAACGCGGAGACUGUAAGAGGCGGAUGUUUCAAUCUAACGCGGAAGACCGGCAGAGGCGAAUGUUUCAAUCUAACGCGGAAGACCGGCAGAGGCGAAUGUUUCAAUCUAACGCGGAAGACCGGCAGAGGCGGAUGUUUCAAUCUAACGCGGAAGACCGGCAGAGGCGAAUGUUUCAUGUUUCAAUCUAACGCGGAAGACCGGCAGAGGCGAAUGUUUCAAUCUAACGCGGAAGACCGACAGAGGCGGAUGUUUCAAUCUAACGUGGAAGACCGGCAGAGGCGAAUGUUUCAAUCUAAUGCGGAAGGCCGACAGAGGCGGAUGUUUCAAUCUAACGCGGGAAGACCGACAGAGACGGAUGUUUCAAUCUAACGUGGAAGGCCGACAGAGGCGGAUGUUUCAAUCUAAAGCGGAAGACCGACAGAGGUGGAUGUUUCAAUCUAAUGUGGAAGGCCGACAGAGGCGGAUGUUUCAGUCUAAAGUGGAAGACCGACAGAGGCGGAUGUUUCAAUCUAACGCGGAAGACCGACAGAGGCGGAAGUUUCAAUCUAACGCGGAAGACCGACAGAGGUGGAUGUUUCAAUCUAACGUGGAAGACCGACAGAGGUGGAUGUUUCAAUCUAACGCAGAAGACCGACAGAGGUGGAUGUUUCAAUCUAACGCGGAAGACCGACAGAGGUGGAUGUUUCAAUCUAACGUGGAAGGCCGACAGAGGCGGAUGUUUCAAUCUAACGCGGAAGACCGACAGAGGCAGAUGCGUUAGAUUGAAACAUCUGCCAAUAUCGGCCUGUCGCAUCUGAGGUGGAAGGUGGCCGAGUUACAGGGGUACUUGUCAGAUCAUGAGACAUCCUAAAAAUCGGUCUUCUCAUGAAAACGUCUGUAGCAUCCAAAUGCUACAAACUAAUGUGGAAAUGGGAGACUCUCACAAACACGAUGGGGUUCUCCGUUUUGCUUUACAACGCCAAUAAGUGUCACGGGACUCAUCUGAAGGUAACAUAUACAAACGAAUGGAAGUAAUAAGUAGUUUUCUGCCAACAAAAAUAUGUGUCUAAAAAAAACUAAAUUAUUUACAUGGGUUUCUUAUAUCUCCUAGAUACAGGACACACUUCAAAACCUUAUUCCUUAUGAUUUAUUGACAUCAAUAAGUUACCAUAGCUUUCACCUGGAUUCACCUGGCCAGUCUAUGUCAUGGAAAGAGCAGGUGUUCCUAAUGUUUUGUACACUCAGGAGAAAAGAGUGAUAAAAUAAAAUGGGGAAAAUAGAGAGAAGAAAUUUAGGAGAUGGAGUGAAGAGAAGGGUGGGGGGGUUGAGAGAGGGAUGGGUGCACAGCGUCCUUGUCACAGUAUUGUCUCUCCUCUCUUUUUCCCUCUCCUCCUCCUCUUUUUCACUUGUUUUUUCUGUAUGUUCUGCUCAAGCAUUGAUUCUACUGCCUCUUUUCCCUUCUUCAACUACACCCUGCAUCUGUCCCGAGACACUGAGACACACAGGGUACGGUAGCUGGCAACGUGUGCUCUGAGAAGAGACACACCCUGAACAGUGGAAGAAAGAGUGUUGUGCAGGUACUGAGAGCUGUUAGCUCGGUCCAGAGCGACAGAGACAGAAAGACAAACAGACAGACCGGAAUUGAGCCGAGCCGGGCUGAGCUGGACUGGGAUACUCUGGACUCUCCCAGAGCUCUCUUCAGCGACGGGCACAGGUAAACACACACCUUCAUGGUUCUCCCCUGUGUUCCAACCCCCUCAGAGUUCCAGAAUGGGUCUGUUUAUGGUAGCCUGGAGAGACUCAAAUAAAGAAAACAACUACUACUUCAGGGUUAUUGACAUAUUCCUAAAAGGUUGUGACUGGCAGCCUGGAUCAAUCUGCUGCACUUUAUUUUAGUAUUCCAAGACAGCCUGAGGGAGAGAUGAACUUCUGAGGAGAAAAAGAGCCAGAGAAAGAGUGUGUGUGUUUAUAAAGGUAUGAUGUGUUUAUAAAGGUAUGAUGUGUUUUAUAAAGGUAUGAUGUGUUUAUAAAGGUAUGAUGUGUUUAUAAAGGUAUGAUGUGUUUAUAAAGGUAUGAUGUGUUUAUAAAGGUAUGAUGUGUUUAUAAAGGUAUGAUGUGUUUUAUAAAGGUAUGAUGUGUUUUAUAAAGGUAUGAUGUGUUUGUAAAGGUAUGAUGUGUUUAUACAGGUAUGAUGUGUUUAUAAAGGUAUGAUGUGUUUAUAAAGGUAUGAUGUGUUUAUACAGGUAUGAUGUGUUUAUACAGGUAUGAUGUGUUUGUACAGGUAUGAUGUGUUUGUACAGGUAUGAUGUGCUUGUACAGGUAUGAUGUGUUUAUACAGGUAUGAUGUGUUUGUAGGAAAGCGAGAAGGAGAGAUAGAUGGGAAAGGGCAAGAUUGAGUUUUUUAUACACCAACCCAACUUCCACACACAUUACUUCAUCUCUGUCUCCUCUCCACAGCACAUCUCUGUCCAGCUCAUAGCCUGCUAUUACAGCAGGGAGGCUGUGUGAUUUUGGUUUUCCUGUUGUGUCAUUAAACUGU